CUGUGGAAGAAACCCUUUGGCGAUGGUAUUGGCACCGACCAGAGAACUUGCUCGACAAGUUGAGAAGGAAUUUAAAGAGUCUUCUAAGUUGUACACUCUUUGUGUUUAUGGUGGCUCUCUGAUUAGUCAGCAGAUGAGAGCACUUGAUUCUGGUGUUGAUGUUGUGGUUGGGACUCCUGGACGAAUUAUUGACUUGCUUAAUAGAGGCGCCUUGAAUUUGUCAGAGAUUCAAUUUGUUGUCCUUGAUGAAGCUGAUCAGAUGCUUAAUGUUGGUUUUGCUGAAGAUGUAGAGAGAAUUUUGGAAAAGAUGCCCCCAAAACAUCAAACUUUGAUGUUCUCUGCUACAAUGCCAACUUGGAUCCAAAAGCUUACACGGAAAUACCUAAAAGAUCCAGUUAAUAUUGACCUUGUGAGUAUGACUGUUCAGUUUACAUCCUUAUAACAUCUGAUUUUGCUAGUCAGUCGUUAGUGUUUCUUUAUUGGGACUAGGAAUUUUUAGCUUUUCUAGGACUAAGUAAGUGCCUCUAGAUUGUUGUGCUUCUCUUACUUUUAUUAUUUAUGAUAUUACAUCUAUACGUUUCUUUUCCUGUAGUACUGAAAAUCUUGAAAUUUCUUUGUAAUGUCUAUGUAAUCAUGCUGUUGUAUAUGUAUUAUGUAUAUCAUUCUUUCCAUUGAAAAGAUUUUGUCAUGCUAUCUCAGUUGUUUUUUUUUCUGUGUUAUCUUCUUUUAUUCAUUUUCUUUUUUGAAUCAACUGUCUUGAUGGCCCAGCCCUUGUAUUUUUCAAUUAUCUCAAAAAGACUUUAGAACUUAAAUCCCCAUUUCCACUUCUGUUGUCUACUAGUUGUCAUUUGCUUGGUUGAAAUUUCUUUGUGAUGUUUAUGUAAUCAUGCUGUUGUAUCUGUAGUAUGUAUUUCAUUCUUUCCAUUUAAAAGAUUAUGUCAUGCUAUCUCAGUUGUUUUUUCCUGGUGUUAGCUUUUUUUAUUUAAUAAACUGUCUUUGUGACCCAGCCCUUGUUUUUUUCAAUUAUCUCAAAAUGACUUUAGAUCUUAAAUCUCUGUUUCUAUUUCUGUUGUCUACUAAUUGUCAUUUGCUUAGUUGAACUGUAUACUCCAAUCGUAAAUAGCAUAUGGUCUUGUCCUUAGACUGCAAUUGUUAAGGUUAUCAUAACUGCACUUGUUCAAUAUCAUUGUUUAGGUUUUCCUGCUAUUUUUGAAUUUAAAAUAAACACUUUGUCUUACCCUUUCCAACUAGGAUGUUUUACAAACACAAUGCUGUUUGGCAUUAAUUUUCUGUUAUUAGGUUUUUAUGGAUUUACCAAUAAGUUUGAGAUUAUAUUCUAUGGGAAAUAUUUGAUGUAUCAUAUUUACGUAAUUGCUUUUUGGUAAGGGUAACUGUUUUCUUUUAAAAAUACCUUAAUUAAAAACACUGACCUUUACAUGAGGUUAGAUAAAAAUGUUAAAAUUACCUUGAUUUCCAGUUUUUUUCUAUCAUAAGCCUGACAAGGUAGUCAUUACCUUGCAUUCUGAUGACCAGAAGAUAGCUAAAGCCAGUAUGUUUGAUGUUCUUGAUGCAUUUGGUAAUUAGUUGAUAAUAUAUUUUGUGUUUGAUUCAGAAUAUUCAUGUAGGAUGCUUUUUUGUAGGUUGGUGAUUCUGACCAGAAGUUAGCAGAAGGGAUAACUCUGUACUCUAUUGUUUCAGAUAAUUAUGCAAAGGCAUCAAUUCUUGGGCCACUAAUAAAGGUAAUUUGUUAGCAGCUGAUCCCAGUGAGCGACCUUAUAGUCAAGUCAGCCUUUUUAGUUUAGUUAAACAUAGUUUAUAAAAAAAAUUUUGUUGGUUUUUUUCUAGGAACAUGCUAAAGGAGGUAAAUGCAUAUUAUUUACUCAAACAAAACGUGAUGCGGAUAGGUUGGCUUAUUCCAUGGGUCGGAGCUUUGGAUGUGAGGCUCUUCAUGGUGACAUCUCACAGGGCCAGAGGGAAAGAACACUAGCUGGAUUUCGUGAUGGCCGCUUUAAUAUUUUGAUAGCUACUGAUGUUGCUGCUCGUGGAUUGGAUAUACCGAAUGUUGAUCUGGUGAGCGUCUUUUCUUAGUCAAUAUGUUAUUUUUUUUGACACACGUCAAACUUUUCAAAUUUUUCAAUAUGAAACAUUUUUCUCAAUUGUAGUUUGUAGAUAAGAAAUUAUGAUGCUCCUGAUCAUCUGGAUUUGUAAGUAGGUGUACUUUUUUAGUAGAUUGCAAGAGGAGCCUCUCCAGCAAAGCUAUACUCUAAUUAAUCAUUUCAUUGGACAUAUAUGUAGCCUGUUGAGUCUGUCUAUAUUUUGUACCAAUUCUUCUGGUGUAUCCUUUUACUUUUUUUUCUUCUUUCAGUUGUGUCAUGCAUGCAUGCAUUUCUACUGUUCUAAUAUUUAUUCCAAUUGACUUCUGGUAUCACCAUCUCAUAGUAUAUGAUGAACUAGCAUUUUUGAAAUAGGAUGAGAAUAAAAUUUUUUGUUUGGUUUGUGUGGUGGUGGUGGUGGUGGUGAUGCCCUCCAGUGGUUAAAGACUACUCUAAACUAUUCAAACCUUACUCUGCUCAACAGAUGUUCUUUUUUUCUUUCCCAAUGUCAACAUUCAACAAAUGAUGCAAAGAUCAUGAUUUUGUUUUCUACUAUGGAUAAUUUAUGUUUACAUGUACAGAACAUACUUUAUUGACUUAAGUUAAUUUAGGUGUGAGAAUGGUCGGUAUAUGCUCAUGGUAUGAUCUUUUUUUUAUCAGAUGCCUAAUUUUAACUUUUUUAGAUUCACUUCACCAUUUUUUGUUCUGCUUUGUCAAUAUUAAGUCAUGUUUGAAGGUACCAUGCUCUUUACUAAAAUGAUCAUCUUCUUUGGCCAGGUGAUACAUUAUGAACUGCCAAACACAACCGAAUUAUUUGUUCAUAGAUCUGGUCGAACUGGGCGAGCUGGCAAAAAAGGUAGUGCGAUUCUUAUACACUCGUAUGACCAAAAUCGUCUUGUUAGAGGCAUUGAACAAGAGAUAGGAUGCAGGUUUAUCGAGGUAAUUUUGUUUUUCUUGUUUGGGCAAACCAGUUGACAAAUUGGACUUUCGACAUCCCUCACUUUCACCAGAAGAUCGCAUUGGAUGCUUUGCAUUUUUUUGGGUGAAGGCUGGGAAAUAUUGUUAAGCUAGUUAGCUUUGUGAAUUUGUCUAAAGUUUUUGCAUUCUAGUGGGUAUACUAUUUUUGUUGGAAGCUGCAGGAACUUGACUAUUUGGUUGACAUUAUUCUUGAAAUGUAUGUAAUUACUUUGAAGAAAGUUCUGACAAACAUAUCUAAUAUCCCUUGAAUUAGCUCAUAUAUUCUAUCUGUCCAUAAGAUCAUUAGAAUUGACCAUUAUAACACAGACCCUUUUCCCUCUAUUUGAAUUAUUAUGGUCAAACCUUGGCAUGCAAUUGACCCUGUUUAAUGGUGCUUUGAUCUUUUCAUUGGUAUUUGAACUUGAGCUGACCUAAGUUGAAUAAGUGAAACAUCAACUAAUGGUUGCCACUGCUGUGAGUACAAUAUGGGUUAUCUUGGAUUAAAAUCAAUAUUGAAAUUACCACUAAUCUUUAUUUUCUCAGAUUCAUCUAAGAUUUUACACAGACAUUUAGAAAGAAAUUUGAAAACAUGUAAUAAAGUACUUAAAAAUAAAAAUAUCAAUAAUAAAAUUGUUAGUGAAAUAUUUUUUGUGUAGAAUUACUUAAUAUUUUACCAUCUCUAGUAAGUUUUACAGAGAGCCCACAUAUGAUUUUGAACCCAAGACUUUGUCUAGACUGUGAACUCCCUUUCUAAUCGUCCUGUCUUCAGGUAGUGUCAAUUGGACUUCCAAAGGCAAAGUCCAAGUCUAAAAACAGGUGGGAGCAAAAACUGUAGGCGAUUAAAUUGCAUAGAGCAGUUUAUGAGGGCCUAUGCGGUGUACUUGAUUUUACCAACAGAUGAUUGGAGACGAGGCCCUUUUGUCAAUAACUUCUUUUUGCAUGCCUUGAUCAACUACUGUAGAAUUAACAUUUGCUGCGACCACUGAUAGGUAACUUGUGUUCCAGAAGAAUUUGCUGACUGGAAACCCUUUUGUUUUCACCUCAACUUGCUGCUUCUUUGAGGAUUUGCCUCUUACCUUCGGGGACAAAGCACCUACAAAAUGGAUUAGUCUCAUCUCCCCUGAUGCUUGUUGGAUCCACAAAGCCUACACUUCUCUUGUUCUCCUUAUCCUUGUUGUCAGUGAGUUGAUAGGUCAGUCAGGGUUAGUCGGAUCACCUUAUCCUUUAAAGGCAUAAGCAUCUGACUGUAUUUUUGAAAUAUGAAGAUUCUAACUCAUGCAUAUGACUAUCUUUAAUGCAUAUGAUGAACUAUGCAUAUUUUCUCUAUUCGAAGCUGGAAAAUGCUAACCCAACAUGUUUUAGUUGAUUUUAUAAUUCAAAUGUUGUGAAUAAAAUUAUCCUAUCGAAGUUCAUAUGGUCCAUGGUCCGUAUUUGGGUCACAUCUUUCUGUUCCAUUUCCACUUUUUUGCUUGCCUUUCCUUUAUUUCUUCACACCUACUAAUUGAUAUGGCCUUCGUUCUAAUUUUCAGCUACCUAAGAUUACAGUUGAGGGUGGCGGAGAAGACAUGAUUGGUAGCAUGCGUGGUGGUCGUUUUGAUUCGCACGGAAGUGGCCGAAUGGGUGGUUCAGGUUUUGGACGUGGUGGAAACUAUGGCCGUUCUCGUGGUUUUGGAGAUUCUGGCCGCCACACAGGCGGCUUCGGAGAAUCUGGGUCAGGCCGUUUUGGUUCCUUUGGUGGUUCAACUUCAGGCGCACCAAGCAGACCUGGUGGCUCCAAUUUUGGUCGCUCUGAUGGUUUUGGGAACUUCAGUUCAGGGCGUUCCGGUGGUCUUGGUGAUUCGGGUGCAGGACGUUUUGGCAACUUUGGUAGUUCAGGAUCCGGGCGCUUUGGUAGUUUUGGCAACUCAGAUUCCGGUCGUUCUAGCAGCUUCAACGAUUCCAGCCCAAGCCGCUCUAGUGGUUAUGGUGGGUCUGGCCGUAGCAGCAGCUUCGGCAGUUUUGGUGGAGGCUCAAGCAAGGAUGAUGGCGAUGAUGGUUGGCCAGGAAGAUCCUUCAUGAGUUCAUCAUAGGUUGGUCGUCCACUAUUACUGUAUGCAAGAAUGCAUUUCCUACACUAAAGGAGCUGUUGCACUCUGGCAUCUGCAGUCCAAACUAACCUUGGUCUUACCAAAGCCCAGGGGGGGGAGGGGGUUCCUUAAGAGACCUUGUCAUUACUGCUUAGUUCAUUGUUGUUUGUUUUCAAUCUUUAACACUUGAAGCUGAAGGAUGGAGGUUCCGGAGAGAUGCAGCAAAUAGGUUUUGCAGCAAUACUCUUCCACGAGUCUCAAAACAGACAUCUUUUUUGGAGGCCAAAUUCGGCAGUUUGAGCUUGUCGUCAUCCCAGAAACAGAUACAGAAUCUCUAAUCAUCACAGAACUCUAGCUUGAUCAAUUCGGAAGACUGCAUUUAUAAAAUUCCAACAUGCAUGUAACGUAUAAAACCAAAAAGUGGAGGAAAAUAAAUGCCCUUUUGAGUAUGUUGACAUGAUUGGAUGCUCCUCGUGUGAUGUGAUACUGCUUGCUGCAGCCUUAUGGUUUUUCUCUUUCCCACGUCGAGGUAGUCAAGGCAGCACUGAGUGCUGAGCUGAUAGAAAAAACCCACAGUGCUAUCCGAAGCCAGGAAGACCAGUGUUUUGCAUUUAUUUCGCAUGAUGUGUUUGCUCCUCUUCGACAGCUGACACUCGGCCAAAGGCCAAAGAAGCUGAUAUGUCUCAUCAUCGAUCGAACACAUUGAUUCAACAUGAGAAGCGCAUAUGUUUAUUUUCCAAGACCACCGCACUUUAAAUUUUUUUUUCAUGAGAAGCUUUAAUCCUUGAACCGAGUGUUUGUUUUGCAGUCAGGUUAAAGCAGCUCAGCAACGAAAAAAAACAAAUCAAAUGAAAGCAGUGGUCAGCAACGAAAAAAAAUAAAUGAAAUGAAAGCAGUGGUCGUACUAGGAUAAAUGGACCUAGAUGUUUUACUUUUAUAAUUAUAGAAAUAUUAAUAUAAUUUUUUAAAAUAUAAAGAUCAAGAUGUUAAAGAUAACUAAUUACUAACUUUUUUUUCUCUUUUUUUGAGUCUUCUCGUUACGUAAAAUAUUAUUUUUCCUCAUAUGCAUACAUGGGUGUAUUUUAUAUAUAAGAGGGAUACAAAUCCAUACAUAACAAUGCAUGUUGCAACGUGAUAUAUCUAUGAUAAAGAUAUAGAUAGCUGUAUUCUUGUGUUCUUUAUACGAUAGAACGAUUAAUGCAUCUAAUGUCAUUGGUCGUAUCUAAUCUCAAUGAAAACUUAUAUAUAUAUAUAUAUAUAUAUAUAUAUAAUUUUAAAAUUGAUUAAAAUUUGUAUCAUUAUCUGAUAUAAUCGGAUUCAAUAAGUCAAUGAGUAUCAAAAAAUUAGGGUGAAUAGGUAGGUCAAGAAGUAGCAAUAUUGGUGGGACAUAAAAGAUUCCAUGUUUCCAACCCGGACUCCAUAGUCGCCAAUUCAAUCCGGCAGUGAUUAGGUCGAUCACGGGCCGUCUGAUCUCGGAAACCAAUCGAUUAGAUGCGACCAACGUCUUCGCUUCACCGACCCGUAUCCCUAUUGAUCAACCUUCCGCCUCCUCUCCCGCAUAAAUAUCUUUCUCGCUGCCCCCUAACUUGCCCCCAAAACCCUAGUCCCUCGUCUGGGGUUUCGCCCUCCCGAUCCCUCUUCUGCGGUUUCGAUCAUUGGACGAUGAACUUCUUGUUCCGGAGGUCCUCUUCGGUUGCCGCCUCGGCGUCGAGGCGAGCCCUAGCAGCCCUGGUUUCCUCGGAGUCUUCUCUUCUCCCGCCGUCGUUCGCCUCGGCGUCGCUCUUUCCGUCCUCAGCCGACGGUCUCGUUCCGUUCUAUAAGUCCGCGCGACAAUUCGAGUUUUGCUGUGCCCGGCGCAGGGAAAUCCACUUUUCGGCGGGGCCUUUGGGGUUCAGGGCCACUGAUGUCGCCUGUGCGGAGUACGCCGUCGAUGACUACUGCGAAGAUGACAGAAGGAGUCCUGAGCGAGGAGGGGACGAGCGGUUAGAGAUCGCCAAGCUGGGGAUAUCGCAGGAUAUCGUGACUCAACUCGCAAACAAGGGGAUCACAAAGCUUUUUCCCAUACAGGUAUUGAAAUGUCUUCAGCUAAGCUGUCAAUCGUCCUUUAUUCUUCAGCUAAUGUUUUGGACUUGUGGAACGGUUUAUUGUUCGGGGCAAACAGCUAAAAGAAAAAGAAAAUUCUACCCUUUUCUUUUCUGUUCUUGAGUUUCUUAACUAAGAGAAAAUUUAUAUUGAUGUAGUGCGUUGUAUUUUUGUCAACCCCCUUAUGUAACAUACACAUAACCUGUAAAUCUAGAUAAUUCAUUUCUUGGAUAUUUAGUAGGUUCAGAUGGUGCUAUGGUGGUCUUUUUAGCAGAUAUUAAUUUUUUAUAGCUUUCAUGGUAUGAGUAAUUAUGAAGCAUUCUAUCAUUUCGGUGAUGCGUUGACCUUUGUGCAUGCCUGUUUUUUUGGUAAGCUGUUAUCUGACAUUAUUGUGAAGGUGCUAUCUUUCUUAUCCAUUGAUUUAUUGAUUUGUUAUUCGCUGGUAUCUAAAAGUAAGUAUUAAUUGUCAAGAAUAUCUAUUUUAGCAUCAAGUUUGUUAAUGUUGCUUUUGCACUAUUGAAUAGAGAGCUGUACUUGAACCUGCAAUGCAAGGACAAGACAUGAUUGGUCGUGCAAGGACGGGUACAGGGAAAACUCUUGCCUUUGGAAUUCCAAUUAUGGAUAAGAUUAUCCGCUUUCAGGCCAAACAUGGGUGAGUUCAUUAUUCAUGACAUGUGGAUUGACUCCUUGAUGAACAUUUUUAUAUGAUUCAUAAUGCAAGAUAGUCUCUAACUGCUAAAUGGUUAUCUGCAGCUGUGGCAGAAACCCUUUGGCCAUGGUACUUGCACCGACCAGAGAGCUUGCUCGACAAGUUGAGAAGGAAUUUAAAGAGUCUUCCAAGUUGUACACUCUUUGUGUUUAUGGAGGCUCUCCGAUUAAUGAACAGAUGAGAGCACUUAAUUAUGGUGUUGAUGUUGUGGUUGGCACUCCUGGACGAAUUAUUGACUUGCUUAAUAGAGGCGCCUUGAAUUUGUCAGAGAUUCAAUUUGUUGUCCUUGAUGAAGCUGAUCAGAUGC
Molecule: long non-coding RNA, 8214 nt
Filed under: Musa acuminata (dwarf banana)
Lineage: Eukaryota; Viridiplantae; Streptophyta; Magnoliopsida; Zingiberales; Musaceae
Description: long non-coding RNA (MACU_LNC000843)
Source: RNAcentral